This 741-nucleotide ribosomal RNA is filed under the name Microbacterium sp. As3-35. RNAcentral's name for it is "bacterial SSU rRNA". It matches the Rfam family "Bacterial small subunit ribosomal RNA", at positions 71 to 823 of the family's 1533-position model. RNAcentral also lists the same sequence under 1 other name. Lineage: Bacteria; Bacillati; Actinomycetota; Actinomycetes; Micrococcales; Microbacteriaceae. The record is from RNAcentral.
AGCAGGAGCUUGCUCUUGUGGAUCAGUGGCGAACGGGUGAGUAACACGUGAGCAACCUGCCCCGGACUCUGGGAUAAGCGCUGGAAACGGCGUCUAAUACUGGAUAUGAGACGUGACCGCAUGGUCAACGUUUGGAAAGAUUUUUCGGUCUGGGAUGGGCUCGCGGCCUAUCAGCUUGUUGGUGAGGUAAUGGCUCACCAAGGCGUCGACGGGUAGCCGGCCUGAGAGGGUGACCGGCCACACUGGGACUGAGACACGGCCCAGACUCCUACGGGAGGCAGCAGUGGGGAAUAUUGCACAAUGGGCGAAAGCCUGAUGCAGCAACGCCGCGUGAGGGAUGACGGCCUUCGGGUUGUAAACCUCUUUUAGCAGGGAAGAAGCGAGAGUGACGGUACCUGCAGAAAAAGCGCCGGCUAACUACGUGCCAGCAGCCGCGGUAAUACGUAGGGCGCAAGCGUUAUCCGGAAUUAUUGGGCGUAAAGAGCUCGUAGGCGGUCUGUCGCGUCUGCUGUGAAAUCUGGAGGCUCAACCUCCAGCCUGCAGUGGGUACGGGCAGACUAGAGUGCGGUAGGGGAGAUUGGAAUUCCUGGUGUAGCGGUGGAAUGCGCAGAUAUCAGGAGGAACACCGAUGGCGAAAGGCAGAUCUCUGGGCCGUAACUGACGCUGAGGAGCGAAAGGGUGGGGAGCAAACAGGCUUAGAUACCCUGGUAGUCCACCCCGUAAACGUUGGGAACUAGUUGU